This 681-nucleotide long non-coding RNA is filed under the name Mus spicilegus (steppe mouse). Its description in RNAcentral is "lncRNA (ENSMSIG00000029255.1)". Lineage: Eukaryota; Metazoa; Chordata; Mammalia; Rodentia; Muridae. The record is from RNAcentral.
GCAAUUAGAAUAAUCACAGCAAUAAGUCAAAGACACUUGCUGUUCAAACUUGUGACUUUUCCUUUUGGCAAUACUCCUCGGCUAUCCCAGUUGUACACACACACACACACACAAGCAUGCACAUAUUUAAUGGAGUUUUAUUUGGUAAAAGGCAAAAUGCCUGAGACUGACUUUGUGUUUUGUCUCAAGGUUAACUAAAGGGCACUGAACAAGUAAAGCUGUGCUGAAAAGAACAGUGGCCAAGGCAGGGAUAUUCUUAUACCACAAACAGUCAUGCAGAUGGAAGUCUGGCCAACAAAACCAUAAAGCAUCAUGUCUCACUGUGACUCAAUCUGUCAGCUCAAGUACAAGAUCGACUCAUGAUGGACUCAUGAGAAAUAAUUGGAGGUGGGAGGGAACAAUGUCAUCACUGACAGACUGUGCAGCAACAAUUACUUGGAGCAACAGAGAGCAACGGGACAGCAGAGACCAUAUCUCCAACCAUUGAUUGCCCUUCAGGAUGUGAACAGUGGAAUCUCCCAGCUAUACUUAGGAGUCAAAGAAUAUAUUGAAACAAAAAACCCAGGCAGAAGCAAAACAGAUGAGGACUAACUAGUUCCUGUGGAAAAGAUGCAAUUGACAAGUAAGUAGUAGAUUUUAUAGUGAAGAAUGUCUAAAAGCUUUAAAAUGUGUUAUGAAUAC